GAAGUACGUGCUGUGUCAUGUCUAAAUUAACAUUAUAUUAAACUACUUGUGUAAUUAAAUGGAUUGUUUAAAAAAUGCAUAUUUUUCAUUUCAUCAGAGUAUCUAGAAACAAAUCUGAAAAGAAACGUAGAGAUCAAUUUAAUGUUCUCAUUAAAGAACUGGGAUCCAUGCUUCCUGGUAAUGCUAGAAAGAUGGACAAAUCUACUGUUCUGCAGAAAAGCAUUGAUUUUUUACGAAAACAUAAAGAAAUCACUGCACAGUCAGAUGCUAGUGAAAUUCGACAGGACUGGAAACCUACAUUCCUUAGUAAUGAAGAGUUUACACAAUUAAUGUUAGAGGCUCUUGAUGGUUUUUUUUUAGCAAUCAUGACAGAUGGAAGCAUAAUAUAUGUGUCUGAGAGU
This 401-nucleotide small RNA is filed under the name Pan troglodytes (chimpanzee). Its description in RNAcentral is "retained intron". The record is from RNAcentral. Lineage: Eukaryota; Metazoa; Chordata; Mammalia; Primates; Hominidae.